GUAUAGUAGUGCGUGUGCACAACAGUAAUUUCAUUACAUUCGAGUGGGUGUAAAAUCCUCUGCUGGCCGAAGCUAGCAAGAGGCCAAAGGUUCACAGGGGUAUUGGAUGAAAGCCACCAACGUGCACUUGCAAGAGCCAGCACCGAAGGCAACCAUUCGCAAUCAUUAAUGAUCCUUCCGCAGGUUCACCUACGGAAA
Molecule: unclassified non-coding RNA, 198 nt
Filed under: uncultured fungus
Lineage: Eukaryota; Fungi
Description: sequence contains ITS1
Source: RNAcentral